RNAcentral lists this ribosomal RNA (607 nucleotides) under Aliarcobacter skirrowii. Its description in RNAcentral is "bacterial SSU rRNA". It matches the Rfam family "Bacterial small subunit ribosomal RNA", at positions 925 to 1533 of the family's 1533-position model. The record is from RNAcentral. Lineage: Bacteria; Pseudomonadati; Campylobacterota; Epsilonproteobacteria; Campylobacterales; Arcobacteraceae.
ACAAGCGGUGGAGCAUGUGGUUUAAUUCGACGAUACACGAAGAACCUUACCUGGACUUGACAUAGUAAGAACUUUCUAGAGAUAGAUUGGUGUCUGCUUGCAGAAACUUAUAUACAGGUGCUGCACGGCUGUCGUCAGCUCGUGUCGUGAGAUGUUGGGUUAAGUCCCGCAACGAGCGCAACCCUCGUGUUUAGUUGCUAACAGUUCGGCUGAGAACUCUAAACAGACUGCCUACGCAAGUAGGAGGAAGGUGAGGACGACGUCAAGUCAUCAUGGCCCUUACGUCCAGGGCUACACACGUGCUACAAUGGGAUAUACAAAGAGCGGCAAUACGGUGACGUGGAGCAAAUCUUAUAAAAUAUCUCCCAGUUCGGAUUGUAGUCUGCAACUCGACUACAUGAAGUUGGAAUCGCUAGUAAUCGUAGAUCAGCUAUGCUACGGUGAAUACGUUCCCGGGUCUUGUACUCACCGCCCGUCACACCAUGGGAGUCGAACUCAUUCGAAGCGGGGAUGCUAAAGUAGCUACCUUCCACAGUGGAUUUGGCGACUGGGGUGAAGUCGUAACAAGGUAACCGUAGGAGAACCUGCGGUUGGAUCACCUCCUUUC